Molecule: long non-coding RNA, 1068 nt
Filed under: Olea europaea subsp. europaea
Lineage: Eukaryota; Viridiplantae; Streptophyta; Magnoliopsida; Lamiales; Oleaceae
Source: RNAcentral
AGAAUNUCAAAUUACAGGAUAACCCAAAAGAAUGCUACCAAUCGCACACACUUUCCACAAUAACGAGAAGCCCAAGACAUGUUUAUCACUUCUUCAGCCCAAAUUUGUAUAAGAUUCAACCUAAACCUAUUCUGAAGAGAAAAAAUUGGAAACCACAAAUUAAUAUUUGCACAAAGAAAUAUCAGAAACCAAAUAGCUAGCCUUUUGGAAUGAAAAAAAAAAUACUUACUACAAAGGCUACAUACAUACACACAGAAUAAUCUUAGAAUAAGUUAAUUCUCAAGGCAACAUCAAAACAGAUUUCGGGGAAAUACGGAACUCAUAAACCAAGAAAUGCAGAUAAUAAAAUUUCAAUCACAAAGAUAUUUAUUCAAAAAAAAAUGACAGAUCGAGAAUACUAACAAAAAUCUCAAACCAUGAAUUUAUAAUAAUGCACGGACAUUUACAUAUCAGAAACUCUCCAUGUAAAAUCAAACGCAAAACCCACAAAAAUAAGCACCAAUAUUCACAUAUCAGCAAUAAAAACUAUCAAAACCUGUUCGUUUUCUUCAAUAACAAACUAAAAUAACCCUCGUACAUAAAUCUCAGCAGCGUAAUGUUCAUGGUCAAUAGAGGUUCAUAAUUUUUUUAGCACACAAACUCUCAGAUACAGUAGACAUGUUUAAAUUCGCAAUCACAUCAAAAGAAAACGAUACCCAUAAAGAAAAUUUACAAGAAAUCAAUAAAAAACAAAAAGCUUGAGAUUGGCAGAAAAAAAAAAGGAAGAAUGCAAUAAAAUCAAAUCAAAAAAUAAUCUUCUCAGCAAGAAAAAAUAAAGUAACCCACACGCAUAAAUAUCAACAGUAUAAUAUUCAAUAAUCAUCCAAGAUUCAUAAUUUUGUACACACACAAAUACGCUGGGAAAUUCAGAAUCACGUUCCAUAAGAAAAAUCAUAUCCAUAAAAUAAAUAUAAACGAUAAAAUAGAGAAAUUUGAAGAUACCCAAAAGAAAAGAAACUGAAGUAUUAACUAAUAUGUCUCUUGUGAGAAGCUUCAGGAUGAGGAAGAACUUUUGUUUUCUUGAAAAAU